GAGGGUAUAGCGCAAGUGGUAGAGCGCAUGCUUAGCAUGCACAGGGUCCUGGGUUCGAUCCCCAGUACCUCCU
This 73-nucleotide transfer RNA is filed under the name Camelus bactrianus (Bactrian camel). It matches the Rfam family "tRNA". Rfam says of the family: Transfer RNA (tRNA) molecules are approximately 80 nucleotides in length. Their secondary structure includes four short double-helical elements and three loops (D, anti-codon, and T loops). The record is from Rfam by way of RNAcentral. Lineage: Eukaryota; Metazoa; Chordata; Mammalia; Artiodactyla; Camelidae. RNAcentral also lists the same sequence under 3 other names.